GACGAACGCUGGCGGCGUGCCUAAUACAUGCAAGUCGAGCGGACUUUCCGGAGUGCUUGCCCUCUGGAGGGUUCGCGGCGGACGGGUGAGUAACAUGUAGGCAACCUUCCCAUUAGACCGGGAUAACAUUCGGAAACGAUAGCUUAUUACGGAUUGACGGACUUCUCGCAUGGGGGGAGCGCGACAGGCGUAGCACUCUGCCGCUUACGGAUGUGCCGUCGGCGGAUUAGCUAGUUGGUGGGGUAACGGCCUACCAAGGCGACGAUGCGUAGCCGAUCUGAGAGGGUGAUCAGCCACACUGGGACUGAGACACGGCCCAGACUCCUACGGGAGGCAGCAGUAGGGAAUCUUCCACAAUGGGCGCAAGUCUGACGGAGCAACGCCGCGUGAGUGAGGAAGGCCUUCGGGUCGUAAAGCUCUGUUGCCAGGGAAGAACGGGCAGGGGAGUAACUGCCCUUGCCAUGACGGUACCCGAGAAGAAAGCCCCGGCUAACUACGUG
This 500-nucleotide ribosomal RNA is filed under the name uncultured bacterium. Its description in RNAcentral is "partial 16S ribosomal RNA". It matches the Rfam family "Bacterial small subunit ribosomal RNA", at positions 28 to 507 of the family's 1533-position model. The record is from RNAcentral.